CAUGAAGAACGCAGCAAAAUGCGAUAAGUAAUGUGAAUUGCAGAAUUCAGUGAAUCAUCGAAUCUUUGAACGCACAUUGCGCCCGCCAGUAUUCUGGCGGGCAUGCCUGUUCGAGCGUCAUUUCAACCCUCAAGCACAGCUUGGUGUUGGGACUCGCGUUAAUUCGCGUUCCCCAAAUUGAUUGGCGGUCACGUCGAGCUUCCAUAGCGUAGUAGUAAAACCCUCGUUACUGGUAAUCGUCGCGGCCACGCCGUUAAACCCCAACUUCUGAAUGUUGACCUCGGAUCAGGUAGGAAUACCCGCUGAACUUAAGCAUAUCAAUAAGCGGAGGA
RNAcentral lists this unclassified non-coding RNA (332 nucleotides) under soil metagenome. RNAcentral describes it as "partial contains 5.8S ribosomal RNA, internal transcribed spacer 2, and large subunit ribosomal RNA". The stretch from base 2 to 120 matches the Rfam family "5.8S ribosomal RNA", at positions 36 to 154 of the family's 154-position model. The record is from RNAcentral.